RNAcentral lists this ribosomal RNA (385 nucleotides) under uncultured bacterium. RNAcentral describes it as "bacterial SSU rRNA". It matches the Rfam family "Bacterial small subunit ribosomal RNA", at positions 28 to 415 of the family's 1533-position model. The record is from RNAcentral.
GAUGAACGCUGGCGGCGUGCUUAACACAUGCAAGUCGAACGUGAAGGCGAUAGCAAUAUUGCCGGAAAGUGGCAAACGGGUGAGUAACACGUAGGUACCUGCCUUGAAGAGGGGGAUAACCACGGGAAACUGUGGCUAAUACCGCAUAGUCUUAUUGAUACGGGAGUAUCGAUAAGUAAAGCUCUGGCGCUUCAAGAGGGGCCUGCGCCCGAUUAGCUUGUUGGUGAGGAAUGGCUCACCAAGGCGAUGAUCGGUAGCUGGUCUGAGAGGACGAUCAGCCACACGGGAACUGAGACACGGUCCCGACUCCUACGGGGGCAGCAGUGAGGAAUAUUGGGCAAUGGACGCAAGUCUGACCCAGCAACGCCGCGUGGAGGACGAAGGC